CAGAGGAUCUGCACCUCAUUGAGCAGU
RNAcentral lists this unclassified non-coding RNA (27 nucleotides) under Mus musculus (house mouse). Its description in RNAcentral is "oocyte_clustered_small_RNA2117". Lineage: Eukaryota; Metazoa; Chordata; Mammalia; Rodentia; Muridae. The record is from RNAcentral.